GGAGGGUCAGAUCUUUUUUUGCUGCAUUAUUUACAGCCGCACGAGUUAAAACAGCAGAUUCAGCUCAGAAAUGAAGCUAGUUUUGAUAGUGCUUUUAUUAUUCCAUGAUUUUUCAGAUGCUGUAAAUAUUCACCAGCCUCCAUCUGAGUUGGUCAGAGAUGGAGAACAGAGUGUGACCCUCAAGUGUGAGCAGGACAGUGAUCAGAUUUACUACAUGUACUGGUACAGACAAGCAAGCAGUGGGGAAAUGGAGUUAGUGGCGUAUUCUGCUAGUAAAGAUGCAUCAAGCAUUGAAGCUCCAUUCAACAACUCUAAAUACACCAUGACCCGUCGAGAGCUGCGGAGAACUGAGCUGCAGAUUCACCCUGCUGAGGCCAAAGACUCUGCUGUGUAUUACUGUGCUUAUAGCACCACAGUGCUUCAAGCUGCUGCAGAAGCUUAACAAUUACCUCUGGAGGAAACAACAGACGUUUUGGAAGA
This is a non-coding RNA of Cyprinodon tularosa, 480 nucleotides long. The record is from the annotation of a RefSeq genome assembly. NCBI's taxonomy places the organism in Eukaryota, Metazoa, Chordata, Actinopteri, Cyprinodontiformes, Cyprinodontidae.